AAGUGUGCAGAAAAAAAUACGUAGACCAUGAACAUUGUUAAAUAAGUUUAGACUAUUGCAGAUUAACAUAAAAUGAAAUUUGCUCUCACUCAGGAAAAUGGUUUUUGGGCUGAUCAACAUAAUUUAAACCUGAAGCUUGUGAUCCGAAGCUUCGAGAACUUUUUAGUUAAGAACCAUACUUACCGAAGAAUGUGUAUUUACAGACUAUUACUGUUUACUACUAACUAAAAGAUUGGACACGCUGUGACAUUCCAUGUAUAUGGAUUCGACUAUUGCAGAUGUAUACACACAACGCCGAAUACUAUUUUCUACGUUUAUUCAUCCGUAUAGAAAAAGAUAUUUGAUAGUCUUAACCUCCGUAAGCUGUGACAAUAAGUUUCUGGAAAAUAAUAGCAUGCAACGAUCUCGAGUUUAAUUGAAUUGAAGUUGAAAUGAAUGUUUGAAUCCGUCGAAUAGAUGUUCAGCAUCAAAGAACUAAAUAGGGAUUGCAUAAAUAAUAUAAAAUUGAAUAAAAAAAAAUAUGCAUUUUAUAGAAUAUAAUACUUUAUUAAUAAAAGAAUAUUGUAAGUACUAUUACUAAUAAUUAGGCAAUUU
This 594-nucleotide long non-coding RNA is filed under the name Nasonia vitripennis (jewel wasp). Its description in RNAcentral is "uncharacterized LOC116415855, transcript variant X2". The record is from RNAcentral. Lineage: Eukaryota; Metazoa; Arthropoda; Insecta; Hymenoptera; Pteromalidae.